UACGUAUGGUGCAAGCGUUAUCCGGAUUUACUGGGUGUAAAGGGAGCGCAGGCGGCACGGCAAGCCUGAUGUGAAAGCCCGCGGCCCAACCCCGGGACUGCUCUUGGAACUGCAUGGCUGGAGUACAGGAGGGGCAGGCGGAAUUCCUAGUGUAGCGGUGAAAUGCGUAGAUAUUAGGAGGAACACCGGUGGCGAAGGCGGCCUGCUGGACUGUAACUGACGUUGAGGCUCGAAAGCGUGGGGAGCAAACAGG
RNAcentral lists this ribosomal RNA (253 nucleotides) under uncultured Eubacteriales bacterium. RNAcentral's name for it is "uncultured Clostridiales bacterium partial 16S ribosomal RNA". It matches the Rfam family "Bacterial small subunit ribosomal RNA", at positions 524 to 776 of the family's 1533-position model. The record is from RNAcentral. Lineage: Bacteria; Bacillati; Bacillota; Clostridia; Eubacteriales.